Molecule: ribosomal RNA, 253 nt
Filed under: uncultured bacterium
Lineage: Bacteria
Description: partial 16S ribosomal RNA
Rfam family: Bacterial small subunit ribosomal RNA
Source: RNAcentral
UGCGUAGGUGGCAAGCGUUGUCCGGAUUUACUGGGCGUAAAGGAUGCGUAGGUGGAUAUUUAAGUGGGAUGUGAAAUACCCGGGCUUAACCUGGGUGCUGCAUUCCAAACUGGAUAUCUAGAGUGCAGGAGAGGUAAGUGGAAUUCCUAGUGUAGCGGUGAAAUGCGUAGAGAUUAGGAAGAACACCAGUGGCGAAGGCGACUUACUGGACUGUAACUGACACUGAGGCAUGAAAGCGUGGGGAGCAAACAGG